RNAcentral lists this ribosomal RNA (253 nucleotides) under uncultured bacterium. RNAcentral describes it as "partial 16S ribosomal RNA". It matches the Rfam family "Bacterial small subunit ribosomal RNA", at positions 524 to 776 of the family's 1533-position model. The record is from RNAcentral.
UACGUAGGGUGCAAGCGUUGUCCGGAAUUAUUGGGCGUAAAGAGCUCGUAGGCGGUCUGUCGCGUCGGCUGUGAAAACUUGGGGCUCAACCCCAAGCCUGCAGUCGAUACGGGCAGACUAGAGUGCGGUAGGGGAGACUGGAAUUCCUGGUGUAGCGGUGAAAUGCGCAGAUAUCAGGAGGAACACCGGUGGCGAAGGCGGGUCUCUGGGCCGUAACUGACGCUGAGGAGCGAAAGCGUGGGGAGCAAACAGG